AUUGAGCGCUGGCGGCAGGCCUAACACAUGCAAGUCGAACGGUAACAGAAAGCAGCUUGCUGCUUUGCUGACGAGUGGCGGACGGGUGAGUAAUGUCUGGGAAACUGCCUGAUGGAGGGGGAUAACUACUGGAAACGGUAGCUAAUACCGCAUAACGUCGCAAGACCAAAGAGGGGGACCUUCGGGCCUCUUGCCAUCGGAUGUGCCCAGAUGGGAUUAGCUAGUAGGUGGGGUAAAGGCUCACCUAGGCGACGAUCCCUAGCUGGUCUGAGAGGAUGACCAGCCACACUGGAACUGAGACACGGUCCAGACUCCUACGGGAGGCAGCAGUGGGGAAUAUUGCACAAUGGGCGCAAGCCUGAUGCAGCCAUGCCGCGUGUAUGAAGAAGGCCUUCGGGUUGUAAAGUACUUUCAGCGGGGAGGAAGGGAGUAAAGUUAAUACCUUUGCUCAUUGACGUUACCCGCAGAAGAAGCACCGGCUAACUCCGUG
Molecule: ribosomal RNA, 490 nt
Filed under: uncultured bacterium
Lineage: Bacteria
Description: partial 16S ribosomal RNA
Rfam family: Bacterial small subunit ribosomal RNA
Source: RNAcentral